UACGUAGGGUGCAAGCGUUGUCCGGAAUUAUUGGGCGUAAAGAGCUCGUAGGCGGUUUGUCGCGUCGACUGUGAAAACCCGAGGCUUAACCUCGGGCCUGCAGUCGAUACGGGCAGACUAGAGUUCGGUAGGGGAGACUGAAAUUCCUGGUGUAGCGGUGAAAUGCGCAGAUAUCAGGAGGAACACCGGUGGCGAAGGCGGGUCUCUGGGCCGAUACUGACGCUGAGGAGCGAAAGCGUGGGGAGCGAACAGG
Molecule: ribosomal RNA, 253 nt
Filed under: uncultured bacterium
Lineage: Bacteria
Description: partial 16S ribosomal RNA
Rfam family: Bacterial small subunit ribosomal RNA
Source: RNAcentral